GAUGAACGCUGGCGGCGUGCCUAAUACAUGCAAGUCGAACGAAACUUCUUUAUCACCGAGUGCUUGCACUCACCGAUAAAGAGUUGAGUGGCGAACGGGUGAGUAACACGUGGGCAACCUGCCCAAAAGAGGGGGAUAACACUUGGAAACAGGUGCUAAUACCGCAUAACCAUAGUUACCGCAUGGUAACUAUGUAAAAGGUGGCUAUACUACCGCUUUUGGAUGGGCCCGCGGCGCAUUAGCUAGUUGGUAGGGUAAAGGCUUACCAAGGCAAUGAUGCGUAGCCGAAUUGAGAGGUUGAUCGGCCACAUUGGGACUGAGACACGGCCCAAACUCCUGCGGGAGGCAGCAGUAGGGAAUCUUCCACAAUGGGCGAAAGCCUGAUGGAGCAACGCCGCGUGGGUGAAGAAGGUCUUCGGAUCGUAAAACCCUGUUGUUAGAGAAGAAAGUGCGUGGGAGUAACUGUUCACGUUUCGACGGUAUCUAACCAGAAAGCCACGGCUAACUACGUG
RNAcentral lists this ribosomal RNA (512 nucleotides) under uncultured bacterium. Its description in RNAcentral is "partial 16S ribosomal RNA". It matches the Rfam family "Bacterial small subunit ribosomal RNA", at positions 28 to 507 of the family's 1533-position model. The record is from RNAcentral.